This 240-nucleotide unclassified non-coding RNA is filed under the name soil metagenome. RNAcentral describes it as "partial contains 5.8S ribosomal RNA, internal transcribed spacer 2, and large subunit ribosomal RNA". The record is from RNAcentral.
AACAUCGCGCACCUGCGGGAACCUGCGGAGGGAUCAUUACUGAGUCACGUGCUCAAACAACCCUUCUGUGGACCUGAAAUAAAACCGUUGCCUCGGCGGGCGGUCCCCCCCAAACCAACCCCACGUGGUGGGUUAGGGGAGACCAGGCAGUCCGGUACGCUUAAGGCGUCCGGCGCCAGCCGCUGGCCCCAAACAAUUAAACUCUAGUAAUCUUUACCUUCUGAGUUUCAAUAUUUAAAA